Meriones unguiculatus (Mongolian gerbil) is the source of this 1637-nucleotide long non-coding RNA. RefSeq lists it as uncharacterized. The record is from RefSeq and is a predicted model, not a curated record. The transcript has 4 exons. Lineage: Eukaryota; Metazoa; Chordata; Mammalia; Rodentia; Muridae.
CCAGCUUCCUGGCUUGGAAAGGUUGGAGGAGCAAUGACAGGUGUCCCGGGGCUCGAAUGACUGGCCGGGGCGGCAGAAGAAGCUGGCCUGGUCGCCUCAGAGCCCUCUUGGACGCAGUAGCAGCACUCACUCAGCUUUUUCUGCUUCUCACAUCCAAUGGAGGAGUAUACAACUUCAGCAUUAGCGCCGUGGAGGGGAGGACUACGCAGCUGUCGAAAGAGCAAAUUCCUGGCCUCCUGGAAAAGCACAUCUUAGUGUCAUUUCUGAGCUGGGCUUAUUGGCAUUUGUGGUGCCAGACAAUGGCUUGUUGUACAUCUGGGACCACUGACUAGAAAGGCAAGAGCAUCCAAGUUCUUCUCUUCCCUGCACAACCACAGACCUCUCGGAUAUGGUACGAAAUGACACCGUGUUUCAAGGACAUGGAUUCUGAGAGGUGCUGCCAAGUAGAAGAACGUGAGCUUGAGGUGGUACCUAACUAAUACCACUCAGCCGGCCAUGUGGAAUGCAAAGACAGCCACAACGUGCUUGGCCAGAGCGAAAGCGGUUCAGCUUCCUCGUGACGCGGUGAACAGAGCUGUCACCUCCCUCGCCUCCCUUCCUCCAAGCUGUCACAGUCCAUGCUUUUCACCCAGGGAUCUAAAGUCUUAACAAAGACAGAGACGACCCCACUCCCGUGCUUACUCUUGCACAUUUGCAAGAUGAGACUUGUUUUUUUAAAGGCACACAUACCCUUCCUCAGGUGCAAUGUUGAGCAUGGCUCCCUCCCUCUGCCCCACAUCAGACUGUGAAAACCCCAUCGGCUCCUUCUUGCCCUUUUGAAAAUGAGGAGUUUGGAGUUGGAGAGUUUACAUUUUCCUCAGACCCAAGUUGGAAUAAAGACCAUCUCUUUAAACGAACAUGCAUAAAUUGGGAUGCUGAGGCAGGAGGACUGCCUUGAGUUCACGGAGUUCUGCUGCUGCCCAGCACCUCACAAGCCCACCCAGUCGUCCACUGCAAAGAUCAUGAAGGGAUGGAAGCCUGAACGAGUCCACGGACACACAGCUCCCGUUGCUAACUUCAGCUGUAGCUUCUCUGCAUAAACUUCCGAUUGGGAGGGUGGGCCUCCCUCGCAGCAGCUCCGCAGUGGACUGAGCGCAGCUGUGAAGGGGCAGGUGGCCUCACUCUCUCCUCCAUGAAUUCUCUCACAAAGACAUUUUAGGAUGUGUGUGAACUCUAAACCUUGCUGCUACUGGAGCGGGGCGCACUGAGUGGAGAGGACAGGAGCGGAGAGCAGGCCCUCAGUUAAUGCACCUUUUUCUUUAUUUUUCUAUAUUUGAGACACCAGGCUAGCCCCAAGUCCAUGUUGACCUUUCUGCCUCAGCUUCCCGACCUGGGACUAUAGGUACGAGCCAACAUACUUGGCUUAGAAUCUAUCUUUUCAUACAGUUUCCUUCUACCUGGUGCUGGAGAUUGAACCCAGAGCCUUGUAUAUGCCAGGCAAGUGUUUCUCUACCACUGAGCUAUCUCCAGCCCCAUUUUAAAAUAGAUUUGACUUUGACCCUGUAAAUAAAUAAUUUUCUUGUACACACACAUACACACAAUGCUAGGAAUGAAAACCUGAGGCUUUGCCCAAGCUAGGCAAAUGCUCUAUCACUGAG